Long non-coding RNA from Amphimedon queenslandica, 363 nucleotides. RefSeq lists it as uncharacterized. The record is from RefSeq and is a predicted model, not a curated record. The transcript is spliced from 3 exons. Lineage: Eukaryota; Metazoa; Porifera; Demospongiae; Haplosclerida; Niphatidae.
UUUGUAAUAAUUGUGUACCUUAUUGUAUUGAUAGUAUUGUAUCCUCUUCUCUCUCUCCUAUAGUUGAGUUAUGCUGAUAUGUUGAAGAGAGUUGAUCCGUUACAUAAGGAAUUGAAAGAUUUGGAAACCAAAGCUGAGGACACUCGUCAAAAAGGAGAAGAAAUAACAAAAAUAAUAGCAGAACUUGAAGCCUCUAUAGCAAAAUAUAAAGAAGAAUAUGCAAUGGUUGUAUCUGAUGCUAGUGUUAUUAAGAAUCAUUUAUCAACUGUUGAGAAAAAGGUGAGUUCCUCCUUCGUUUGUGUCACCUUGAGAAGAGUCUCCUCACUGCAUUGAACAAGGUCAAGGGUCAUAUCCUAGACAACA